GAUGAACGCUAGCGGGGAGGCCUAAUACAUGCAAGUCGAACGGUAACAGGGGUAGCAAUACCUGCUGACGAGUGGCGCACGGGUGCGUAACGCGUACACAACCUGCCUUAUACUGGGGCAUAACCUUGGGAAACUGAGGCUAAUUCUCCAUAACAUAUCGAAAAGGCAUCUUUUUGAUAUUAAAACUCCGGUGGUAUAAGAUGGGUGUGCGUCCGAUUAGGUAGUUGGUGAGGUAACGGCUCACCAAGCCAACGAUCGGUAGCUGGUCUGAGAGGAUGAUCAGCCACACGGGCACUGAGACACGGGCCCGACUCCUACGGGAGGCAGCAGUAGGGAAUAUUGGACAAUGGGCGCAAGCCUGAUCCAGCCAU
This 371-nucleotide ribosomal RNA is filed under the name uncultured bacterium. Its description in RNAcentral is "bacterial SSU rRNA". It matches the Rfam family "Bacterial small subunit ribosomal RNA", at positions 28 to 395 of the family's 1533-position model. The record is from RNAcentral.